GACGAAGGCUUUCGGGUCGUAAACCUCUGUCAGGAGGGAAGAAACUGUUUGAUGUUAAUACCANCUUUCACUGACGGUACCUCCAGAGGAAGCACCGGCUAACUCCGUGCCAGCAGCCGCGGUAAUACGGAGGGUGCGAGCGUUAAUCGGAAUCACUGGGCGUAAAGCGCGCGUAGGCGGCGCGAUAAGUCAGGCGUGAAAGCCCUCGGCUCAACCGGGGAAUUGCGCUUGAUACUGUCGUGCUUGAGUCUCGGAGAGGGUGGCGGAAUUCCAGGUGUAGGAGUGAAAUCCGUAGAUAUCUGGAGGAACACCAGUGGCGAAGGCGGCCACCUGGACGAGUACUGACGCUGAGGUGCGAAAGCGUGGGGAGCGAACAGGAUUAGAUACCCUGGUAGUCCACGCCGUAAACGAUGGAUGCUAGAUGUCGGGCCUUAACCGGUUCGGUGUCGAAGUUAACGCGAUAAGCAUCCCGCCU
Molecule: ribosomal RNA, 475 nt
Filed under: uncultured delta proteobacterium
Lineage: Bacteria; Deltaproteobacteria
Description: bacterial SSU rRNA
Rfam family: Bacterial small subunit ribosomal RNA
Source: RNAcentral